Long non-coding RNA from Neodiprion fabricii, 335 nucleotides. RefSeq lists it as uncharacterized. The record is from RefSeq and is a predicted model, not a curated record. NCBI's taxonomy places the organism in Eukaryota, Metazoa, Arthropoda, Insecta, Hymenoptera, Diprionidae. The transcript has 3 exons.
UGGUUGGCGGUGGUUGGAGAUGGUCGGAGGUGGACGAGGAGGACGAGGAUUUGUGCUCGUUCUGUGCCCCACCUAGUGAUCCGCUAGUACAUAUCCUCCGAUGUGACAUCGCUCUGCUACGUAUGAAGAAGAAAAGAUUUAUUAAGAUGCAAAUUGCUCCUCUCUUCUUGCCAUUGUGCUUUCAGCCAUUCUUGUGCUGUGUGUUUAAUAUUUAGGACAGUAUGUAAUAUAGAAUAACAGGUACAGCUACGAAUAUAGCACUACAAUAAAUCUUAUAGAAAUGAGCUCUCAUUGAGAUUUCUCUGUAUUUAUAACUCGACGCGAGAAGGCAAAAA